UUUUAGUGAGGAUCUCUUCUAACAUGGACAAUAGUGUUGGCUUAAUUUCCUGUUGCAAUAAGCUGCCCCAUGUUGCUAGUACUAUUCAGUGGUGGUAUUAAGAUUUAAGCAUCCUCUUAUAUUGUUAAAAGAAGAUUUAAAGUUGGCUAACAUGCAUGUAUGAGAUGAUAUGAACUUUGAUGAGAGGCAUGAGAAAUUAUUAAGUGUAUGUUUGGUUGGUGUACUUAAGGUUGCCACUGUUUGUCACAGUGUUUAGUGUUUAGUGUUUAGCUAGUCAUUUUUUGUCUCAUGAAAUAAUUAACAUUGAUGAGAGCAUGCUCAUUGUUUGUCUCUCCUCCAUAUAGGAAAAAGUGACGUGUAAGCAUGCAUAUAUCCUUUGUUAUACUGUCCCCAACAUAGCCCCCUUCUCAUGUAGCAAUAUAGCGCCAAGAGGGGUGAUGCCUCCUCCCUCUCAUAGAAGUAACUCAUCGACGAUUUCUUGUUUGGCAUGAGACAGUUCAUCGAGGUGGUCAUGCUGCUCAGGCACACCUGCAACCCGGUCCCAUUGAUCGGCUCGGAAUCAUUGCUGAGUCGCUCUAGAACAACAUCCAUUUCUCAUUUCAUUUAAAUUAAAUUCCAGAUCGUCCUAAUAUACGUUCACAUACUUUGUUCUUUUUUCGUGUUCUGUGUGUACAAGUGAGUGACCCAUUGAUGAUCGAUCAACGAUGUUGCUUAGACGUUGAGUGAAGGGUGAUGCGUGAGGAAAUUAGGCAUUUCCAUGAAAUUUGGUCAAAAAAAUUAAUCAGGCUCUAUUCUAACAUGAACACUACUGUUGGCUUGAUUUCCUGUGUUGCAAUAAGCCACCCCAUGUUACUACUAUUCAUUGGUGGUAUUAAGGUUUAAGCAUCCUCUUAUUGUUAAAAGAAGAUUUAAAGUUGGCUAACAUGCAUGUAUGAGAUGAGAUGAACUUUGAUGAGAGGCAUGAGAAAUUAUUAAGUGUAUGUUUG
RNAcentral lists this long non-coding RNA (986 nucleotides) under Triticum aestivum (bread wheat). Its description in RNAcentral is "long non-coding RNA (TAES_LNC019809)". The record is from RNAcentral. Lineage: Eukaryota; Viridiplantae; Streptophyta; Magnoliopsida; Poales; Poaceae.